UCCACGCCGUAAACGAUGUCUACUAGGUCGUGGAGGUUCUGACACCUGCACGGCCGAAGCAAAAGUGUUAAGUAGACCGCCUGGGGAGUACGGUCGCAAGGCUAAAACUCAAAGGAAUUGACGGGGGCUCACACAAGCGGUGGAGCAUGUGGAUCAAUUCGAAGCAACGCGCAGAACCUUACCUGGGUUUGACAUGCUUGGAUGCCUGCCUGGAAACAGGUUAGGCUGCCUUCGGGUGAAACUUGCACAGGUGCUGCAUGGCUGUCGUCAGCUCGUGUCGUGAGAUGUCGGGUUAAGUCC
Molecule: ribosomal RNA, 300 nt
Filed under: uncultured bacterium
Lineage: Bacteria
Description: bacterial SSU rRNA
Rfam family: Bacterial small subunit ribosomal RNA
Source: RNAcentral